UCCAGACUCCUACGGGAGGCAGCAGUGGGGAAUAUUGCACAAUGGGGGGAACCCUGAUGCAGCGACGCCGCGUGAGUGAAGAAGUAUUUCGGUAUGUAAAGCUCUAUCAGCAGGGAAGAAAAUGACGGUACCUGAAGAGGAAGCCCCGGCUAACUACGUGCCAGCAGCCGCGGUAAUACGUAGGGGGCAAGCGUUAUCCGGAUUUACUGGGUGUAAAGGGGGCGCAGACGGCGAUGCAAGCCAGGAGUGAAAGCCCGGGGCCCAACCCCGGGACUGCAUUGGAACUGUAAGGCUAGAGUGUCGGAGAGGCAGGCGGAAUUCCUAGUGUAGCGGUGAAAUGCGUAGAUAUUAGGAGGAACACCAGUGGCGAAGGCGGCCUGCUGGACGAUGACUGACGUUGAGGCUCGAAAGCGUGGGGAGCAAACAGGAUUAGAUACCCCCGUA
RNAcentral lists this ribosomal RNA (444 nucleotides) under uncultured bacterium. RNAcentral describes it as "bacterial SSU rRNA". It matches the Rfam family "Bacterial small subunit ribosomal RNA", at positions 330 to 792 of the family's 1533-position model. The record is from RNAcentral.